AUUGAACGCUGGCGGCAUGCCUUACACAUGCAAGUCGAACGGCAGCACGGGAGCAAUCCUGGUGGCGAGCGGCGAACGGGUGAGUAAUAUAUCGGAACGUGCCCAGUCGUGGGGGAUAACGCAGCGAAAGCUGUGCUAAUACCGCAUACGAUCUAAGGAUGAAAGCGGGGGAUCGCAAGACCUCGCGCGAUUGGAGCGGCCGAUAUCAGAUUAGCUAGUUGGUGGGGUAAAGGCCCACCAAGGCGACGAUCUGUAGCUGGUCGGAGAGGACGACCAGCCACACUGGAACUGAGACACGGUCCAGACUCCUACGGGAGGCAGCAGUGGGGAAUUUUGGACAAUGGGCGCAAGCCUGAUCCAGCAAUGCCGCGUGCAGGAUGAAGGCCUUCGGGUUGUAAACUGCUUUUGUACGGAACGAAACGGCCCUUUCUAAUACAGGGGGCUAAUGACGGUACCGUAAGAAUAAGCACCGGCUAACUACGUGCCAGCCGCCGCCGUAA
Molecule: ribosomal RNA, 500 nt
Filed under: uncultured bacterium
Lineage: Bacteria
Description: partial 16S ribosomal RNA
Rfam family: Bacterial small subunit ribosomal RNA
Source: RNAcentral